AUACGGAGGGUGCGAGCGUUAUCCGGAUUUAUUAGGUUUAAAGGAUGUGUAGGCGGGAGCCUAAGUCAGUGGUGAAAUCUCACAGCUUAACUGUGAAACUGCCAUUGAAACUGGGUUUCUUGAGUAUAUUUGAGGUAGGCGGAAUGUGUAAUGUAGCGGUGAAAUGCAUAGAUAUUACACAGAACACCGAUUGCGAAGGCAGCUUACUAAGCUAUUACUGACGCUGAUGCACGAAAGCGUGGGUAGCGAACAGGAUUAGAAACCCUUGUAGUCC
Molecule: ribosomal RNA, 274 nt
Filed under: uncultured bacterium
Lineage: Bacteria
Description: partial 16S ribosomal RNA
Rfam family: Bacterial small subunit ribosomal RNA
Source: RNAcentral